Molecule: long non-coding RNA, 1541 nt
Filed under: Homo sapiens (human)
Lineage: Eukaryota; Metazoa; Chordata; Mammalia; Primates; Hominidae
Description: non-protein coding lnc-FBXO15-3:5
Source: RNAcentral
AUUCAAGAUGGAGACGCCCUGGUUCAGACGCCUCUGACAGAUGCUCCAAGAUGAUGUGAAGACCAGAAGUUUUUUGAAUUGCAUCUCUAAUGACCUAUCAGAUCAGAAGACUGGUAAACCUGGAGCCUCAUCCCAAGAGGUGAUGGUGUCUGGGUUUAUUAUGGAUCGCAGGAUGUAACUAUCAAUCUGGAGCUUUAGGGGGAAGAAGAAAGAAUAUUUUGAACCACACCAGGAGAAUUACCCUAGAGAAUAUAAGUUCACCUGCCAAAAUGGGAGGCUGGCAUCUUUUUGCUCUAUGAGAAGGCUGCUGAGCUAACAGGUCUGCCUUGGCAUAAAUGUCUAGAAGAGCAUGUGUCUCCUGGAGUAUGGGGACAUUUGUGUUUCCAUAAAUUGGCAGCUGCUUCUGGUUAGAGACUUCUAAAAGGUCUGGAAUACUGGAAUACUGGUAUAGUCCAAAAGGGGAAGAUGAAAAGGAGCCGUGGAACAUUGUACCAGGAAGAAGAUGGGACAUUACUCUCCGCAUGCCCUGGAGCUUUCGGAAGACGUAUAAGAGGAUCUUAGUUUCCAUAGCUCCACAUGAAAGAGCAAGCAGGGCUGCUGAUGUCCACUGUGGGCUCCAAGUGAGGGACUGGCCCAUGGGCAGGAGGUGAGGGAGACUUACUUGCUUUUCUCUGAGCUGGUCCACAGGAGCAGAGGAGACUGGGGUGAGCCUCACUCCAGAAUACUUGUAGAGUAUGUGACACCGGUUACCAACCUUGGCUCCACAAAAAUUACCUGUGAACCUUCUAAAAUACACAUAAGAAAUUCUUACUGAAUUGAACUGGGACGAGAUUCCACGUAUCAGGAUUCUGUAAAAGCUCCCCCAGUGACUCAAGAUGAAGUCCGGGUUGAAGACCAGUGAUAUGCAGGAAAUGUGUCCUGUGAUUUGAAACCACAUUCCAUUUGUCAAGCAAGACACUACGGCCACAUAAUGGAGAUCUACUUCCAUAUGAACCAGUGGAUUUCACUCUGCUUAAUGGAAGUGCCUUAGACUACUUCUCAAACCUCAGUCCACGUCAGAAUCACCAAAGGGCCUGAUGCAUCCCAGAUUCCAGUCCCUUCUCUCCAUCCCAGACAUUCUGCUGAGGCAACUACCACAUUUAAGUGGACAAGUUCAUCAUUAAUAUUUAACUCAUGAGGCCUCUCUUGGAUCAGCUUUUCUUCACUGAUCAUUCAUCUUUGAGGAAAAACACCGGGCUCCAUUUGAGACGUCUGAUGUUCAUAAUGCCAAGAAUUAUUUAUUUGUAAUAAUUAUAGUUCCAAACGUAAAAUGCAUCCUCUGGGCUUGCUGGUGUUCAGGAUCAUGGAAAAGCCAGAAGUGACUGUGUAUGAACUGAUGGCAAGAUGUGGUCUUUGCAUCAGGAAGCAGGUAAACGAGGUACUAUUGACUACUAAAGCAGUGCUCCAAGUACUGUGAUUCUCUCAGGGUAACCUCAGCCUUCUAACAGUGGCAACUUGGAAGUACUAGACAUUUUAUCAGCUUUGUGCUCUCUGACAACAGA